RNAcentral lists this ribosomal RNA (285 nucleotides) under uncultured bacterium. RNAcentral describes it as "partial 16S ribosomal RNA". It matches the Rfam family "Bacterial small subunit ribosomal RNA", at positions 230 to 507 of the family's 1533-position model. The record is from RNAcentral.
CCGAUAUCAGAUUAGGUAGUUGGUGAGGUAAAGGCUCACCAAGCCGACGAUCUGUAGCUGGUCUGAGAGGACGACCAGCCACACUGGGACUGAGACACGGCCCAGACUCCUACGGGAGGCAGCAGUGGGGAAUUUUGGACAAUGGGCGCAAGCCUGAUCCAGCAAUGCCGCGUGCAGGAUGAAGGCCUUCGGGUUGUAAACUGCUUUUGUACGGAACGAAACGGUGAGCUCUAAUACAAUUUGCUAAUGACGGUACCGUAAGAAUAAGCACCGGCUAACUACGUG